RNAcentral lists this long non-coding RNA (1963 nucleotides) under Pomacea canaliculata. Its description in RNAcentral is "uncharacterized LOC112564484, transcript variant X1". The record is from RNAcentral. Lineage: Eukaryota; Metazoa; Mollusca; Gastropoda; Architaenioglossa; Ampullariidae.
CAAGAGUAGUGUGAUCGAUGCUCCGCAUGCAGUAGAGGAAUAUCACUAAUAGCCGCGUGUUGUCAGGGAGCUGGUGGACUCGCUAACAGGAGAGUGUAUAUAGGAGAGUGUCAGGAGACUUACUCACAGACCGCCUUUCCUCUUGCCUGCAUCUUUGUUUUCUUCCCUUUUCUUGUGUAGACAUCGACAUCCGGUCUGGGCUUCGGGAUUUUGGACGAAGGUGAGAACAGUCAUACAGAGACCAGGAAGCCCCAAAGUGUGUCAAGAAAAAUGUUCUUACAACUAAUGGUGCCCCUACUGGCAUGCAUUUCUGGCUGUGGGCUUGUCCUCGGCGCCAUCACCCAGGGUACACUUUAUCAGGUAUGGGUGACCAACCCCACUGCCGCAGCUGCCUCUCCUGUACCUGUCAGCGUCUGUAGCAUCACCUACUGCGCCAGUUCCUGCAUGCAGCUGGGUUCCACCUGCUCGACUUUCGCCUACAAGGCCUCCACUUCGACGACUGCCCCCUGCGACCGACCUGGACUCUGUCAGCUGCGCAGCACCAACGUCACCAGUGCUCCAGAUACUUCCUACAUCAUCUACAAGAAAAUGUGAUGGCAGCAUCGUCUUCUGUGCUUCGUGCAGUUAAGCUUAUUCACAAGGGGUUAUUGCCGACAACUUUUGGUUCCAGCACUCCAAGCGGACUGACUGAGCGCAAGGUCGAAAAUUUCACCAUACACAAGAGAAUUCAAGUCCACUUUUCGUGCAAACAUGUUUCAAGUGAAUAAAUUUGGUUCAAGAUACUAACUCGUUCCCGAAAUCUGAUCCAAAAACCUCCUUUCGUGGGAUACAAGCCUUUGAAAAUCGACAUACACAGAAAAAUAGGUGGAUCGUGCCAUUUUUUUUUUUUUUUUGGACGGCGGGUACGUUUCCUUAAAAAAAAAGUUGGCGACGAUGACCCCCCUACACUACACUCGACACCGUCCUCCUAGUAAGAAACUUUUUGCACGUACAUGAACGUUUCAUGUGACUAACUGUUCGCAUUUCACUUUGACACAGAAGCUAACUUGCACUGAACAUUUACGCGCUGUUAAAUUACCUGCCCCCGCCCUUUCAGCCUGAUAUACAUGAUCUGGGCCAAUUCCUUUUUGAGCAAUUCAACCUUCACAGUUUUUGUUUUAUAAUCUGCGAAAAAUGCUCAACUUUGGCGCUAAAAGCCAUUUAUUGAGUGUAGUCGUCGUUUCUUGCUUUUUGUGGCAUGGAGACUGUGGAAUGCAUGUCUAUCGAUGGUCAGAAGCUAUCAGCCCAGAAAUAACGAAUAUUAACAUCAAAGAUAUACUGAAAGCCACUCUUCUGCAGCAGUGGUGGUAUUCGGUAAAACUGGCUCUGUUCUGCCUGCCCAAGAAACGCCUUUUCAACAGUUGCCUAGCUGCUGAGUGGGAAAACAGGUUCUGUGCCCAGAUCACUAACAUCAUUUCCAUCAUUAAAUCCACAGAACAUGCGAUUAUACAGUAGGUUUUUAUAGUUAAGUAGAAACCUACAAGUCUAUAAAUCCUACAAACACUUUUUACUAAUUUCAGCAUGCCUGAAAAAAGAUAUACACAAUGCUAGUAUUUCUCUCUUGCAAGAUGCUUGCAUUUCUAUAUUUUUAUCAGAACACUUCGAGAAGAAAUUGUAGCAUUACUAGUUCUCUUUAUAAAUGAAAGCAUGGAAAUGUGGUUAUUUUGGAAGAGAAUUUAAUCUCCUCCUAACCCUAAUGUAACCUUAACUGACCUGUGAGAUAUGAUCUGGCUCAUUUCCUUUGAGAAAUUUUUCUUAAUAAAUUGUUAUAUUGCAUUGAUUUUUUUUUUCAUUCAUGCAUCACUGCAUUUUUUUUUGUUUGAUUAUUUCUUGAAUAUGAGUCCACUUUCCCUCGUGUAUUUUCAGUAUUUUACCUCCAAGAAAAACGUCAAUGUUUUGGAAAUACCUACUCUUUUUUGCAAGC